GUGGCUGCGCUUGCGAGGACCCUGAGGUAGGUUGGGUGGUUUCAGCAGGAACGCAUCCACUGUCUGAGUUUAAACUUGGUUUUGUGGGGGGACGAACAGCGUGACAAUUAAAGAAGAUGUAGGAAUCAAAAGCUUCCUGAGGCCUACAACCAGAAGCAGAUGCUGGUGCCAUGCUUCUACAGCCUGCAGAACUAAGAGAAGACAUGGAGAAGAGGAGGGGAUAGUUGUGACUGUGGAGGCAGAGAAUGGAGUAAUGUGAUCAUAAAUCAAGGAAUGCUGACAGCCACUAAAGCUGGAGAAGGCCAAGGACAGAUUUCCAAUCCUCCCGCAGAAGUACAGCCCUGCUAAUGCAUUGAUUUUGGACUUCUGGCCUCAGAACUGUCUGGAAAGCAUGGAAAUUUGUAUCUUCGUUCACUUUUGUUUUCAUGGACUCUUUUCAUGUUUGAACUUUUCAUGGUAUGAGGUGUCUUAUAAUCUAUAAUAUGGAAUGUUUCUCAUAUGAAUGUUUUUCUUAUUGAAGAAUGCCAUAGAAAUAAGGGUGUGAGGUAUACUUACUUGACAGGGGAAU
Molecule: non-coding RNA, 568 nt
Filed under: Pongo abelii (Sumatran orangutan)
Lineage: Eukaryota; Metazoa; Chordata; Mammalia; Primates; Hominidae
Source: RNAcentral